UUAAGCGACUAAGCGUACACGGUGGAUGCCCUGGCAGUCAGAGGCGAUGAAGGACGUGCUAAUCUGCGAAAAGCGUCGGUAAGGUGAUAUGAACCGUUAUAGCCGGCGAUGUCCGAAUGGGGAAACCCAGUGUGAUUCGUCACACUAUCGUUAACUGAAUACAUAGGUUAACGAGGCGAACCGGGGGAACUGAAACAUCUAAGUACCCCGAGGAAAAGAAAUCAACCGAGAUUCCCCCAGUAGCGGCGAGCGAACGGGGAGCAGCCCAGAGUCUGAAUCAGCUUGUGUGUUAGUGGAACGGUCUGGAAAGUCCGACGGUACAGGGUGAUAGUCCCGUACACCAAAAUGCACAGGUUGUGAACUCGAAGAGUAGGGCGGGACACGUGGUAUCCUGUCUGAAUAUGGGGGGACCAUCCUCCAAGGCUAAAUACUCCUGACUGACCGAUAGUGAACCAGUACCGUGAGGGAAAGGCGAAAAGAACCCCGGCGAGGGGAGUGAAAAAGAACCUGAAACCGUGUACGUACAAGCAGUGGGAGCACCUUCGGGUGUGACUGCGUACCUUUUGUAUAAUGGGUCAGCGACUUAUAUUCUGUAGCAAGGUUAACCGUAUAGGGGAGCCGCAGGGAAACCGAGUCUUAACUGGGCGUUAAGUUGCAGGGUAUAGACCCGAAACCCGGUGAUCUAGCCAUGGGCAGGUUGAAGGUUGGGUAACACUAACUGGAGGACCGAACCGACUAAUGUUGAAAAAUUAGCGGAUGACUUGUGGCUGGGGGUGAAAGGCCAAUCAAACCGGGAGAUAGCUGGUUCUCCCCGAAAGCUAUUUAGGUAGCGCCUCGUGAACUCAUCUUCGGGGGUAGAGCACUGUUUCGGCUAGGGGGUCAUCCCGACUUACCAACCCGAUGCAAACUACGAAUACCGAAGAAUGUUAUCACGGGAGACACACGGCGGGUGCUAACGUCCGUCGUGAAGAGGGAAACAACCCAGACCGCCAGCUAAGGUCCCAAAGUCAUGGUUAAGUGGGAAACGAUGUGGGAAGGCACAGACAGCCAGGAUGUUGGCUUAGAAGCAGCCAUCAUUUAAAGAAAGCGUAAUAGCUCACUGGUCGAGUCGGCCUGCGCGGAAGAUGUAACGGGGCUAAACCAUGCACCGAAGCUGCGGCAGCGACACUAUGUGUUGUUGGGUAGGGGAGCGUUCUGUAAGCCUGCGAAGGUGACCUGUGAGGGUUGCUGGAGGUAUCAGAAGUGCGAAUGCUGACAUAAGUAACGAUAAAGCGGGUGAAAAGCCCGCUCGCCGGAAGACCAAGGGUUCCUGUCCAACGUUAAUCGGGGCAGGGUGAGUCGACCCCUAAGGCGAGGCCGAAAGGCGUAGUCGAUGGGAAACAGGUUAAUAUUCCUGUACUUGGUGUUACUGCGAAGGGGGGACGGAGAAGGCUAUGUUAGCCGGGCGACGGUUGUCCCGGUUUAAGCAUGUAGGCUGGUUAUCCAGGCAAAUCCGGAUAAUCAAGGCUGAGGUGUGAUGACGAGGCACUACGGUGCUGAAGUAACAAAUGCCCUGCUUCCAGGAAAAGCCUCUAAGCAUCAGGUAACAUCAAAUCGUACCCCAAACCGACACAGGUGGUCAGGUAGAGAAUACCAAGGCGCUUGAGAGAACUCGGGUGAAGGAACUAGGCAAAAUGGUGCCGUAACUUCGGGAGAAGGCACGCUGGUGUGUAGGUGAAGUCCCUGCGGAUGGAGCUGAGACCAGUCGAAGAUACCAGCUGGCUGCAACUGUUUAUUAAAAACACAGCACUGUGCAAACACGAAAGUGGACGUAUACGGUGUGACGCCUGCCCGGUGCCGGAAGGUUAAUUGAUGGGGUUAUCCGUAAGGAGAAGCUCUUGAUCGAAGCCCCGGUAAACGGCGGCCGUAACUAUAACGGUCCUAAGGUAGCGAAAUUCCUUGUCGGGUAAGUUCCGACCUGCACGAAUGGCGUAAUGAUGGCCAGGCUGUCUCCACCCGAGACUCAGUGAAAUUGAACUCGCUGUGAAGAUGCAGUGUACCCGCGGCAAGACGGAAAGACCCCGUGAACCUUUACUAUAGCUUGACACUGAACAUUGAGCCUUGAUGUGUAGGAUAGGUGGGAGGCUUUGAAGCGUGGACGCCAGUCUGCGUGGAGCCAACCUUGAAAUACCACCCUUUAAUGUUUGAUGUUCUAACGUUGGCCCCUUACCGGGGUUGCGGACAGUGUCUGGUGGGUAGUUUGACUGGGGCGGUCUCCUCCCAAAGCGUAACGGAGGAGCACGAAGGUUAGCUAAUCCUGGUCGGACAUCAGGAGGUUAGUGCAAUGGCAUAAGCUAGCUUGACUGCGAGCGUGACGGCGCGAGCAGGUGCGAAAGCAGGUCAUAGUGAUCCGGUGGUUCUGAAUGGAAGGGCCAUCGCUCAACGGAUAAAAGGUACUCCGGGGAUAACAGGCUGAUACCGCCCAAGAGUUCAUAUCGACGGCGGUGUUUGGCACCUCGAUGUCGGCUCAUCACAUCCUGGGGCUGAAGUAGGUCCCAAGGGUAUGGCUGUUCGCCAUUUAAAGUGGUACGCGAGCUGGGUUUAGAACGUCGUGAGACAGUUCGGUCCCUAUCUGCCGUGGGCGCUGGAGAAUUGAGGGGGGCUGCUCCUAGUACGAGAGGACCGGAGUGGACGCAUCACUGGUGUUCGGGUUGUCAUGCCAAUGGCACUGCCCGGUAGCUAAAUGCGGAAGAGAUAAGUGCUGAAAGCAUCUAAGCACGAAACUUGCCCCGAGAUGAGUUCUCCCUGAGACUUUAAGUCUCCUGAAGGAACGUUGAAGACGACGACGUUGAUAGGCCGGGUGUGUAAGCGCAGCGAUGCGUUGAGCUAACCGGUACUAAUGAACCGUGAGGCUUAACCUU
This 2900-nucleotide ribosomal RNA is filed under the name Klebsiella aerogenes. RNAcentral's name for it is "bacterial LSU rRNA". It matches the Rfam family "Bacterial large subunit ribosomal RNA". The record is from RNAcentral. RNAcentral also lists the same sequence under 1 other name. Lineage: Bacteria; Pseudomonadati; Pseudomonadota; Gammaproteobacteria; Enterobacterales; Enterobacteriaceae.